This 245-nucleotide ribosomal RNA is filed under the name uncultured bacterium. RNAcentral's name for it is "partial 16S ribosomal RNA". It matches the Rfam family "Bacterial small subunit ribosomal RNA", at positions 524 to 768 of the family's 1533-position model. The record is from RNAcentral.
UACAGAGGUCCCAAGCGUUGUUCGGAUUCACUGGGCGUAAAGGGUGCGUAGGUGGCGUGGUGAGUUGGGUGUGAAAUCUCCGAGCUUAACUCGGAAAUGGCACUCAAAACUGCUGGGCUAGAGGGUCGGAAGGGAGACUGGAAUUCUCGGUGUAGCGGUGAAAUGCGUAGAGAUCGAGAGGAACACCAGUGGCGAAAGCGAGUCUCUGGACGACCCCUGACACUGAGGCACGAAAGCUAGGGGAG